This 301-nucleotide ribosomal RNA is filed under the name uncultured bacterium. Its description in RNAcentral is "partial 16S ribosomal RNA". It matches the Rfam family "Bacterial small subunit ribosomal RNA", at positions 509 to 809 of the family's 1533-position model. The record is from RNAcentral.
CAGUAGCCACGGUAAUACGAAGGGGGCUAGCGUUGUUCGGAUUUACUGGGCGUAAAGGGCGCGUAGGCGGACUGAUAAGUCAGGGGUGAAAUCCCAAGGAUCAACCUUGGAACUGCCUUUGAUACUGUUUGUCUUGAGUUCAAGAGAGGUAAGUGGAACUGCGAGUGUAGAGGUGAAAUUCGUAGAUAUUCGCAAGAACACCAGUGGCGAAGGCGGCUUACUGGCUCGAAACUGACGCUGAGGCGCGAAAGCGUGGGGAGCAAACAGGAUUAGAUACCCCCGUAGUCCCUGUCUCUUAUAA